Molecule: ribosomal RNA, 253 nt
Filed under: uncultured bacterium
Lineage: Bacteria
Description: partial 16S ribosomal RNA
Rfam family: Bacterial small subunit ribosomal RNA
Source: RNAcentral
UACGGGGGGGGCCAGCGUUGUUCGGAAUUACUGGGCGUAAAGGGCGUGUAGGCGGCCUUCUAAGUCGGACGUGAAAUCCCUCGGCUCAACCGGGGAACUGCGUCCGAUACUGGAGGGCUUGAAUUCGGGAGAGGGAUGCGGAAUUCCAGGUGUAGCGGUGAAAUGCGUAGAUAUCUGGAGGAACACCGGUGGCGAAGGCGGCAUCCUGGACCGAUAUUGACGCUUAAGCGCGAAAGCCAGGGGAGCAAACGGG